Molecule: unclassified non-coding RNA, 243 nt
Filed under: uncultured fungus
Lineage: Eukaryota; Fungi
Description: partial contains 5.8S rRNA and ITS2
Source: RNAcentral
AACGCACAUUGCGCCCCUUGGUAUUCCAUGGGGCAUGCCUGUUCGAGCGUCAUUUGUACCCUCAAGCUCUGCUUGGUGUUGGGUGUUUGUCCACCAUCGUGGACUCGCCUUAAAGUCAUUGGCAGCCAGUGUUUUGGUAUUGAAGCGCAGCACAUUUUGCGCCUCUAGCCUAGAACCCUAGCGUCCAGUAAGCCUUUUUCCACUUUUGACCUCGGAUCAGGUAGGGAUACCCGCUGAACUUAA